Molecule: transfer RNA, 73 nt
Filed under: Cyanobacteria bacterium FACHB-63
Lineage: Bacteria; Bacillati; Cyanobacteriota
Description: tRNA-Asn
Rfam family: tRNA
About the family: Transfer RNA (tRNA) molecules are approximately 80 nucleotides in length. Their secondary structure includes four short double-helical elements and three loops (D, anti-codon, and T loops). Further hydrogen bonds mediate the characteristic L-shaped molecular structure. tRNAs have two regions of fundamental functional importance: the anti-codon, which is responsible for specific mRNA codon recognition, and the 3' end, to which the tRNAs corresponding amino acid is attached (by aminoacyl-tRNA synthetases). tRNAs cope with the degeneracy of the genetic code in two manners: having more than one tRNA (with a specific anti-codon) for a particular amino acid; and 'wobble' base-pairing, i.e. permitting non-standard base-pairing at the 3rd anti-codon position.
Source: RNAcentral
UGCCUUAUAGCUCAACUGGCAGAGCGCUCGACUGUUAAUCGGGUGGCUGUAGGUUCGAUUCCUACUGAGGCAG